UGGGCAUUGGGCGGGCGCAUACACAUGCAAGUCGAGCGAGGGCUCAUUUCCCGCAAGGGAGAUGGGUUCCUAGCGGCGAACGGGUGAGUAACACGUGGGCAACCUUUCCUAUCGCGGGGGAUAACAGCGGGAAACCGCUGCUAAUACCGCAUGUCGUCACCGGUCGCAUGGCCGGUGAAGAAAGCAGCAAUGCACGAUGGGGUGGGCCCGCGGCCUAUCAGCUAGUCGGUGGGGUAACGGCCUACCGAGGCGAUGACGGGUAGCUGGUCUGAGAGGACGACCAGCCACACGGGGACUGAGACACGGCCCCGACUCCUACGGGAGGCAGCAGUGAGGAAUCUUCCGCAAUGGGCGAAAGCCUGACGGAGCGACGCCGCGUAUGGGGAUGAAGUCCCUUCGGGAUGUAACCCACUGUUGGGAGGGGGAAGACAUCGACGGGACCCUUCCAAAAAAGCCCCGGCCUAACUACCGUGCCAGCAGCCCGCGGUUAAUACGUAGGGGGGCUAGGGGUUUCCCCAAAUUUCCUGGGCGUAAAACCCCGUGUUAGGGCGGUUGGGUAGGGGGGAUUGGAAAAUCCCCCGGGCCCCACCCCAAAAACUUGUUUGCAAACCGGCCCGGGCUAAGGGGAGGGAAAGGGAAACGGGAAUUCCCGGGUUAGGGGGGAAAUGGCCAAAUUUUUGGGGAGAAACCCAGGGGAAAGGGGGUUCCCGGCCUGUCCCGCCCUGAACCCCAAGCUGGGGGGGAAACGAAUUAAAACCCGGGGGCCCCCCCCCAAAAUUGGAAAAGGGUUGUCGGGAUUCCCCCUCAUGCCCCCCUAACCCUUAAUGUCUCCCUUGGGGUACCCGCCCCAGGUGAAAAUCAAAGAAUGGGGGGGCCCCCCCACGGGGGGGAGAGGGUUUUUUUUUUGCCCGGAAAAUCUUCCCCUCUUACGUGGCGGAUUCCCGAGGUGUGGGCAAAAAAAACCAACAAGGGCUGUGGUUUUUCUCCCCUGUGAAAGGGGGGUAAACCAAAAAAGACUCUAUUUUUUUUGCGGUGUGCGGAUACAAGAACUGGGAUAUAGGGAGAGGGAUAAUAUCUUUUCUUUAUAAGUCUCCCUCCUCGGGAUAAUAAACCUCUCGAGAGCACACAAAAGUGCUUGUGUUGCUUCCUCUGUAGGAGCAGUCAUUGAUAGAGUAGAUUCGGCUUGCUCCGCCCUCAUAUGAGUGUCUAUUACUCGUAGCAAACUGAAGAGAGAGAGUGGAGUG
RNAcentral lists this ribosomal RNA (1244 nucleotides) under uncultured bacterium. RNAcentral's name for it is "partial 16S ribosomal RNA". The stretch from base 1 to 1080 matches the Rfam family "Bacterial small subunit ribosomal RNA". The record is from RNAcentral.